UCCGGUUUGUCACCGGCAGUCUCCCUAGAGUUCCCGGCCGAACCGCUGGCAACAUAGAACGAGGGUUGCGCUCGUUGCGGGACUUAACCCAACAUCUCACGACACGAGCUGACGACAACCAUGCGCCACCUGUGAACCGGCCCCAAAGGGGAAACCACAUUUCUGCGGCGAUCCGGCCCAUGUCAAGCCUUGGUAAGGUUCUUCGCGUUGCAUCGAAUUAAUCCGCAUGCUCCGCCGCUUGUGCGGGCCCCCGUCAAUUCCUUUGAGUUUUAGCCUUGUGGCCGUACUCCCCAGGCGGGGCACUUAAUGCGUUAGCUACGGCACCGACGGAGACCCGCCGGCACGUAGUGUCCAUCGUUUAGGGCGUGGACUAC
Molecule: unclassified non-coding RNA, 374 nt
Filed under: uncultured Micrococcaceae bacterium
Lineage: Bacteria; Bacillati; Actinomycetota; Actinomycetes; Micrococcales; Micrococcaceae
Description: contains 16S-23S intergenic spacer region
Source: RNAcentral